This is a small nuclear RNA of Callithrix jacchus (white-tufted-ear marmoset), 107 nucleotides long. The record is from Ensembl. NCBI's taxonomy places the organism in Eukaryota, Metazoa, Chordata, Mammalia, Primates, Cebidae.
GUGCUUGCUUUGGUAGCACAUAUACUAAAAUUGGAACAAUACAGAGAAGAUUAGCAUGGUCCCUGCACAGGGAUGUCAUGCAAAUUCAUGAAGCAUUCCACAGUUUU